AAAAAUUAGGACCCCAACUGUCAUAACCACCAACCCCGGCUGUGGAAUCGGGGAUCACAUUCCCUCCAGCAAAACCAGCUUCACCCGUAAAAUCCAUUUAAACAGCAGAUCUGACUACCCCAAAAUGUUCAAUUCCCAAAACUGAUAAAAAUAGAGUAAUAUGCAUACAAAAACAUAAAGCUCAAACCAUGAGCAAAAAGAUUACACACUGACGGCUAUACCUCAAAAGAAUGAGAAAGCAGGAACCUCAAACCAACACAAAAAUCCACACACACUUAUUGUCCAGAAAGGAAAAAGAAAUUAGAAACCUCCCUCUUGAAAAUAAGGAAUUCGAAGCUAAAAAUCCUACCUUUUUCA
This 357-nucleotide unclassified non-coding RNA is filed under the name Hevea brasiliensis (rubber tree). Lineage: Eukaryota; Viridiplantae; Streptophyta; Magnoliopsida; Malpighiales; Euphorbiaceae. The record is from RNAcentral.